GGUGAGGAAGAGAGCGUUCUCCGAGAAAACCCAACUACUCUGCAUGAGGUUGCAAAACAACGCGAAUUGAGUGGGACGCUGGAAAGUGAGUCGGACGGGAUGUUGAAAAAGCAGAUCUCUCAUGCUAAGUCCAAAGAACUUAGUGGGCAUGACAUAUUUGCACCUCCACCUGAAAUCUUGCCCAGGACGGUGGUUUCACACGCACACACAAUGCAUCAAGAUAUGGGAGAACCUGCACCACGUAAUUUACGCACAUCUGUCAAAGUUUCUAAUGUAAGUGACUUUGUUGUGUUUGUCCUUACUCUUACCUCUGUCUUAAGCAUGAGAAAAUAGUUAUGUGGCAACUGAUACAGCAUGUCAGUUGAAAGUAACCACCUCCCCUCUUCCUUGGUGGCUUUGAACCUGGGUAGUUCUAUAUUCAAUGAAGACAUGCUAUUAUUGGUUGUCACAUUGGGAUAGAAGUCAACCACAUGACGUUUGAUACGUAUUGAAGUUUUUUCUCAUCAAGUAGGCCUAGUAAAAUGCAAUAUUUGAGAAGCUUCGAUGGAAUUAACCAAUGAUUAUCCAUGAUGCUUCUUGCAAGCAUAGCACUAUAUCGAUUCUUUCUCUAAAUCAUUCUUCUGAGGUAUUCUUGGAUCUAGAAUGACCUGACUUUAAUACUUUUACAUGGAUCAGCCUGCUGGAGGACAGAGCAAUAUAAUGUCCACUGAGGAACCUGUGCUGAAGACGGCAAAGAAGAUCUAUGACAAGAAAUUUACUGAACUUUCGGGAAACGACAUCUUCAAGGGCGACGUGCCUCCAUCAUCUGCGGAGAAACCACUAAGUGUGGCGAAACUGCGCGAGAUAAGUGGCAACGACAUUUUUGCUGAUGGUAAGGUAGAAUCUCGGGACUACCUGGGUGGCGUGCGCAAACCGCCUGGUGGUGAGAGCAGCAUCUCAUUGGUUUGAUAAGAUACGGCCUGGACCAACUAUUUCACGUGAUAGUCUUGUGUCUGGAUUUUCUUCUGGUUCUCACUGUGAACAUAUUCUGGUAUUACUCUCCUUUCAUUAAAUUCGUCGAGGGAUACGGCAAACUUCAUUCCAGUAUUUAACAUGAUUGGCUAGAGAUGUGACCGAUGUGCUAAUUGGUGUUAUGUGUUCAUACUUGCGUUUGGUUUAGCGAUUGUCCUAAUUUUCUGCAAGUUCAUCUACUGCAAUGAAUGGUUGCGUUUGUCCGUUCCAUCUUCUUACUCCCUGUGUAGUGUUAAAUCUUGAUUUCAGUACAUUUCAUUGGGAUACAGUGAUUAUCGAUUCCAUUCUGUUUUCAUCCUGUGCUGCCAAGUGAUUUAUGGCAAUUUUUUGUAGUUACAUAUAGGAUGUGGAACAUUCUCUUGUUAAAAUCCACGUCAAGGGAAAUUGAGUAUGUACGCCCUUUCAUUUAGCAGCCAUUCUCCACCUCGAGAUCGCUGGGCCAACCACCUAAGGUCUUAAUUCAAUAAGAUGUUAUCAAUGCUUGAUUGAUGCAUUCUGCUAAAAUUUGACAGCUACAGCAAACAAAUCAUUGCUGAAGUAUCAUUAGGAAUGGUUGUGGUCAAAAUUUACUUGGAUAAUGUGAUAUCAUAACCUUUUUUUGGGGUGGGGUGAGCAGUGUCGGCAAUCUUCUUGGAUGUAAGCAUAGGAGUUCUACAUUUAUGGCGUACUGUCAUAACUUUAUGUUCAUAGAGAUUUAUCCGAAAAAGAUUGAACUGUUGGUUUAAAUCAUGACAAGGGAAUGCUGAAUUUUUGAGAAUGGAGUGAGGGCCAAGCUAUAAGAGGAAAAUCCGAAACACUGGAGGGUUUACAAAUCCUUUUCGAUGAACUAAUAUCUUCAGUUCAUGCCCUUAAUAUCACAUUCAACUUCUGAAACGUGCUCUUACAUUUUUAUAUGGAUUUCCCAUUCUCCGUUCAUCUUACCUUCCUAAUAUAUAGUCUAGACAUCUUACCCUUCCUUGACUGUUCUGUGCACAGUUGAAUCGCCAUUCAUGCAGUACAAUUGUAAUAAUUAUUACUAAUUAAUAAACAAUACCCAUUAUAUUGGUUAAUUAAUAUAAUAUAAUCAUUACAUAAGCAAAUUGUUCUCAUGAUUAAUACUAUCCAAUCACGCAGGGCGCUAAGCUAUUAUGUAUAAUAGCUAUUAGAGUUUCAGCAGUAAUAGGCAUUAUAACGUUAUACUUACUACUGCAAGCUGAUAUUGUAAUGCGUCAAAGAGGAGUAAUGUAAUAAUCGUUGCCACAACCAAAGCGUCCACUUGUGGCUUCUGAAUCUUUGCUUGUCAUGAAUAUAAGCUCACUUUAUAAUAAUACACUCAUCUACGAAUAUAGAAAGUACCACUGGAGAUAUUUAUUCAUUUGCUAGAAGCUAUAGUUCCUCUUGCAAUUUCAUAUUACUGGGUUGUCUCCACCUCUGGACAAUGGCCACACUAGUGAGCGGCCGGAUGAGCCGAUAACACCUGAGAAACCAUCUUCAUGGAUGGCCUGAGUUGCGGAUUGGUGGAUAAACAAGCAAUUGCGAGCUUGAAGAUGACUAGAAGUUCAUCCUCAGUGCUUGGCAUUGGAGCUGGUAGGCGUGGAUCCAGCAUAUCUUUCAGGACUGUCACAAUCUCCUUAUCCGAUUCAGCUAAUAGGGAUGAGAUGGUUUCGCCUGGAUGUUUUCCAUGGAACACCUGUAUUGCCAUGACCCCAAAGCUGUACACGUCGCAUUUCUCAGUCACUCUCAUCGUGUAGGCAAGCUCUGCACAUAAGAAGAAAAUGCAUUAUUACUGGCAGAUUAUUACUUUUUAAGCUCACCAUAGAGGACUAGUAGAUAUCCAUGGAGUUACCUGGUGCAAUAUAUCCAUAUGUCCCAGCAACAGUGCUCCAAUUCGACGUGUCCAGCUUGAGAAGCUUGGCUGUGCCAAAGUCAGAAACAUGGGCCUCAUACUCAGAAUCAAGCAAGAUGUUGUUGCUUGAUAUGUCUCGGUGAACAAUGGGAGGCACACAGUCAUGGUGCAUGUAGGACAGAGCAUGAGCUAUGCCUCUCACAAUAUUUGCCCUCCUAUCCCAACCCAACUCUUUUGCUUCUCCAUCAUCGCUCAGGGUUGCAGACAGGUUUCCUCUUUCCAGAUACUCAUACACCAAGAACGAGUGUUGGGGAUGUGAGCAGAAGCCACGGAGUCUCACGAUGUUACGGUGUCGUAUUUCUGUCAAUGCCCGUAUCUCAUUCUGAAACUCCUUCUGAUUCGUUUGCCCGCUAUCAGACAUCUGAUGAAGCUUCUUCACAGCCACCACAUCGCCUGAUCUUAGCUUUGCUCUGUAGACUCUUCCAUAUCCUCCACAUCCAAUGCAGUAUCUCUCGUUAAAAUCCUCAGUCGCUGCAAUGAUUUCUUCGUGCAAUAUCCUUCCAUUGUAAGUAGAUAUAGAAAACAUUUUCUCUCUCUCCUGUGCUUGCUCCACUGUCGGCGGUCCUUUCUUCUAUGCAAAAUGUAGUAUACUCCGACGAAAGAAAGCAGGAGAAAUGCUCCAAGUACGAGGAAAACAAUGAGAAACACUUUCUUAACAGUGUUGGAUUUUUUCUUCUGCGGCUCCGAUUGACUACAAGGCUGAAGUCCAUCAACAUUUCCACAUAAUCCAGCGUUGCCUUGUAAUGCUUCUGUUGGAGCAUCUUGGAAUGCCGUGGUGUUUGGAACCGGACCCUGAAACUCAUUGUAGGAUAUGUCAACCGUGGCCAAACCUGGCAUAUCCUCAAAAAUUGCGUAUAUAGGGCCCGAAAGAUUGUUGUGUGAGAGGUCAAGUUUCACUAGACUUUGCAGAUUGCUGAAUUGUGCAGGAAUCUUGCCGAUUAAUGAAUUAUUGUUCAAGUCUAGCUCGGAUAAGUGAAUCAGCAUCCUGAUCUGGCCAGGAAUUUCUUGGCUUAACCGGUUGUUGCUCAGAUCCAAGUGGAAUAAGUCUGCCAACUGCCCGAUACUCUCAGGGAUAGACGAGUUUAAUCUAUUCCUGGACAAAUCCAUCAUUUGAAGACCAGAUAGGGACGCGAUCUUCGGACUUAUACUGCCAGAAAGUUGAUUCCUGCUCAAGUUCAACCUCACCAAAUAGGUCAAUUUCCCGAGUUCCUUUGGAAUCUCGCCAACUAAACCAUUGGAAGAAAGAUCGAGUCCUUGUAGUUCAGUUGCGUUUCCGAUCUCAGGAGGCAAGCUACCAGUGAUGUUGUUCCCAGCAAUUCGUAGAGUCCGCAGACGCUGACAACUUCCCCAGUUGGCCGAGAUUUCUCCAUAGAACUUGUUGAAACUUAAAUCUAUAAAGUCCAAGUUCGGGUAGAUGCCAAAACUGUCGGAUAUGUUUCCAGUGAGUUGAUUCUCCUCGAGGCGUACCCUGAGUAAGCUUGUGCAAUUUCUCAAGCUUUUGGGAAUGAAACCUGUGAGGUUGUUGCCACCCAAGGUGAGAUUGCGAAGUGAUCCACCUCGGCACAAGUUAUCUGGUAUGAAGCCAGUGAAUUGGUUCGUAUCUAAUUGUAGCACCACCAAGCUCAUCAAAUCCCCCAGGAAUCUAGGAAUGGAUCCGGAAAGUUGGUUCUCGCGGAGGAAUAAAUAUUUCAGUUUAGUCAUGUUGCCUAGAGAAGAAGGAAAAGGGCCACUGAGCUGAUUCAUACUCAGCUCCAAAUCGAUCAUAGCUCGAAGGUUUCCCAACUCAUCAGGAAUGUCAUCAGAAAGCAUGUUGCCAUACAGAUAAAGAAGGGUAAGCUCUGUCAAAUUGCCUAAUGUCGAGGGAAUUGAACCGGUAAGAUUAUUGUAGUGUAGGGCGAGUCGACGAAGAAGUUUCAAGUUCCCCAGCUCCGGUGGGAUAGAACCAGUAAGUUCAUUAUCAUAUAUGUGGAGUUGGGUUAGUUUCGUCAAUUUCCCAAAUGUGGAAGGAAUUGGCCCCGUUAGGAAGUUGAUAUCCAUGUAAAUCUCCUCCAAGUUUGUCAAAUUCCCCAUCUCAAGAGGAAUAGGACCAGAAAAUGAACUGUUAUAGAUGUAAAGUCUAGAGAGGCUGCUCAAGUUGCCCAAGGAAGAAGGAAGAGAUCCAUUCAACUGGUUUGAGUACAAGGCAAGCUCGUUUAACAAACGCAACUGACCUAUUUCAUCAGGGAUAGAGCCAUUCAACUCGUUAGAGGGCAAGUGUAACACCUCAAGCUUCAUGAGAUUGCCAAUCUCCCGUGGUAUUUUCCCGGAUAAUUGAUUAUAGGAGAAGUCAAGGUAGGUGAGAUUGGUCAAAAGACCGACUUGAGGUGGAAUACCGCCGAAGAGUUCAUUUAUGUACAUGUCUAUAUAGGUAAGAUACGGCAAAGACGAGAAUGGGAACUCAUCGAGUGUACCUUUGAUGUUCGAAUUGGUGAGAUUGAUUCCAAUCACGCUUCUGGCUAGGUUACACAAGAUGCCGUGCCAACCGCACGGGCUCGACGCUGUUGCAUUGGAGCCGGUAGCAUUUUGAGGAGGGAGAGUCCAUGAAGAUAGAGAAGAGGUGGAUAGGUUUUGGUUUAGAAGGCUUGAUUUCCAUUUGAGAAGGGCUUGUGCUUCUAGUGUGGAGGCAUAAGCAGGAAUUGCACGUUGUGGAAUGAUGACCAAAAGUGCUGUGAAAAGGGCAAAAGAGGCUAGAAGAUUCACUGGUGUCUCCAAUCCUGGUGAGCCCAUGGUUUCUUUCGUUUGUUCUGGAGGUUGAUGAUCAACCAUGAGGCAUAUAUGUAAAGCUUGGUUACUCUGUGUCUGUCAUUCUCCAAUUCCAUUCAAAGAAGGCCAAUUUUCAAAGAUCCUAAAUUUCCUGCUUGCUCAACGGUGCUGAUUGUGAUGGUUCAGAUGUUAACAAUCUGGCCAAUGAGUGAAAACGAGAAAUAGUCUAACCGCGUGUAGAGUUUCAUGUGGUUGGAACAAUGCGUUUGACUCAAAGCUUCCUUGACUCUGUUCUCUUUACUCGGUGCUAUCUCUGGUUUUUCUUGACGUGGGAGUGCCAACAGCCAGAUACUGCUAUUUUAAAGAUGAUAAUGCGUUCGUCAGCUAUCAUCAAUAGGGAAGAAAAUGAAGCCAGUCACUAUCGUUUUGCUCAGACUUUGUGACAGACAGGAAAUUUGACUGAGUAUUUACUCGAUAAAUUAAAUAAAUCUUUUUAAUACCAAGUGGAUCUGCGCUUUGGAUGUUGUAUAUGGCCUAAUUCUUCCUUUCUGGAAGCACUUAUGAUGGAAUUACCUUCCAAGCGCUCUACUGGGAGAGUUUGUAGAUGAAGAGUGGGACACAGAAUAAAGGACCUUCACGUUUAGUUUCUUUUUGAGCCUUUUUAUGGUUUUAACCCCUUUGCUCUUUCCUUCUAGAGGAACGGCGAUGUUUCCUUGUAGCUUCUCGCUGAAUCUGAUUGAUGCUUUGAAUAGUUUAGGUACCUCUUUUACUAUGUGAAUUUCGACUAGAUUUGCUCUUUUAGAAGAGAAGCAGGACAAAAUGUACUUGUGUGAACCUUCUAACUGUACUUUGUUCAGGCAAUAUCUAGAAACAUUCGCAUCAAAGGGAAAAUGAAACGAACAGUAAGAGACUUCUGCUAUUUUCGCCUUAACAUGCGCUCUUAAGAUCGAAAAUCGAGUUUCUGGUCUCUAUAUGACACAACGUUAUUUAUGUAAGUGGGAAACUACCAUGGAAUACAUGGAUUCUAAGUCUUAAAUCACCCUAAACUUUUAUUUCCAUGUAAAUCCACAGUUUAAUAACUCCUUUACUGAAUCUUGCAGUUCAAAUUUACAUUACUCCUGGCCUAAUUCCUAAAAUUACUCUAAUUAGAUGAACAACGAGUUCGAUUAUUUACCAAAUGUUGUAAAACGAAGCCAAUCCAGCUUGGCGAGUUCACAGUGGUGUGUAGACGCAAGCUUUUCUCUCCUCUCUUCCUUGCUAUUAUUGUCAUUGUUUAUGUUUGUUUUUCGCUUUUACACUUCACAUGCAUCUAAUGAAGGAGAAAAGAGUGCAGAUUACAUCGGCCAAUGCAUGGUAGGAUAAUGUAGGUUGAGCUUUUAUUUGUUAAUUCAUUUAUCUUAGAUUUCGCUCUUACAGAUGUUAUAUAUGUGCUUGUUCAACUUUUUUAUUCUGAACUACAAAAGUAUUGGAGAUGUCGAACCUAUAUGCACACAACCAAUAGGCAAAGCCAUAGUAAUAUAUAGAGAUUUCAUUGUGUAUUUAUUACUAAAUACGGAUUCAGUGAUCAGUCGCUGUUUUUGUAAUUAAUUUUUGAGCGAGUUUUGAGGAUAUAUUUUGUUAUCUGGAGCUUAUUUUGUUUUGAAGCUGUCUACGAGUUGUCUUGAUUUGCAGUUGGACUAAAUUAUUUUUCUCUUAUAUUUACGUGGGAAUGAAUGAAAUGUUAUCUUGACCAAAAAAAAAAAAGGGGUAAGAAAGAAGAAUGGGCAAUAGCACCUACGGCUGGGUUUGUGGUGGCGGCCUAGUUUGCCCCGAGUUUACCCCGCCGGCUGCCGGCUGUAUGGGGGGUUUCCGGGUCAUCAAAAUAAAAAAUAAAAAGGGCAAUAACAAACUUAGUUAUAGUCACGGUCACCCUUCAAGUCUGUAUUUUUUACUUGGGGAACGACCCCAUCCCUUCAUAAAAUAAGGGACGAAGCUUUUAAUUAACACAAACCAUUUUCAGAAAUGUAUUAGUCGUAUAAAACCUGACAUUAACGAAAAUAAUCAUAAGGUCCAACGUAUCAUGAAUGUACCCAGCUGAAUUUCCUUCAGAGUCGGUCUAAUAAGCUCAAUAAAAAUAGCAAGAUAGAUCCUAAAUUGAAUCCAUCACUCUCCUCUAUUCUUGAAAUCUGAAAUGGCAAUAAAAGGGGGCGAGCAAAACCCCGGCUCAGUAAGUGAUAAUCACCACUUCCGUGAAAUCAAGUAACGAAGGAUGCGGUUGUACAAUAACAUGCAUAUGCAGGAAUUGCACCUUGUGAAGUGACUGCUAGCAUUGCGAGAAGGGCAACGGGAGUCGGUAGCCAGAAGACGUACCCCUUCCUCUAAAACUUUUUGCCAGUCCUUGAUUUUCUGGUGUGGUUCUGGAGCAUGAUGAUCAACAAAGGGUUGCCUGCUCUGUUUCUGCCGUUGUUCUUUACUCCAUUCAUAAAGGGCCAGCUUUCAAAGAUCUCCCAUUUCAGGAUUUUGAAAGCUUCUGAUCAUGAAGUUUCAGCUAUUGACAAACUGUAUUUUGUUUAUACAGAGCCCCGUGUAUGCUGAAGUAAGUGGUUGACUUCACUCCACCUCGCUAAUUUUUUUUUACCAAUGGGGGACAUUCCUUUGCUUGCUAAAAUACCGACCUUUGACAACUGGAAUGCGUGCAUCACCGGGCAAUAAUUAAUGAGAAAAACAUACGUUGACUUGGAUCGGUCUUCUUUGGCGACUUGUUGACUUGGAUCGGUCCCCAUGUCGGAAUUUGGUCCCCAUCGUUGGGCGAAAUCCAGAGAAUUUGAUAGAGAAGUCGUUGAGGAGAGUGAUAUUCCUAACUUGUUUCACACAUUAUGCAAUUCUAAGCACGCAAAAGGGAAGUCUUCUCAUCCGGCAUUAAUGAAGCCAAAUCCUGCCUCGGUUUUGACCCCGUUCUUGCAGAAACGAUAGCUGAUAAUAAAGCUAAUGAGUUUGGAUCACACCCACUUGCAAACUCACAUCAAUCUAAAGGAAAAUUGAAGAAGAGAAAUCCAAAUUGUCUAUGGCCUGCUUGUUCCAACCUUUUCUGAUAAAUGACAAGGUGGCUGUGGAGACCCGCAUUUAUCGAUAUUUCUCGAUUAUCAAGUUCAUCAUCAUUGCCGGUCUCUUUGGGCCUACGUAGAAAAGCCGAUCCUGAAGUGGCUGCUCAAGAGGCUGUUCAACCGGGAGUUCCCGGGGUGGGCGUCCUGAAUAUUUCAUUGUCAGAGAAGGUGAUCGUUGGCGAAUAACUUCAAUCUAGCUUCUGCUGGAGGCGAUGAGUGCCAGCGUGAGGAUGUGAAAUCGUAGAAUGCAGAGCACGCAGUUUAAAGUUCGUUGAUGGGGAGGGUGCAAAACUAAAUCACGCAGUUCGUAGUUUUGCAAAACUGUAGACACUUCUCGAAUAUCUUUACAUUUUCAUGAUUUCCUAAAUUGUUCAAAUUGUACCACUCUUGUGCAAGUUCGCUGGUGAGGCUGUUGUCAAGGAGGUCAUGCAGAGUGAAGGAGGAGGCGUAAGCAAGAUGAAAAGAAACACAAAAUGGAAAAAGAAAAAAAAAAGAAAGAAAAAGAAAAAAAGCAAAGUCCUUAGAGGAAAGAUUUGGUUGACUUGUAGGUUGAAGCCUUCAUUUGAGAUGGUGCCCACUUUAAGUUGUUUCAUAAAACGGUUUCACUUCAAGUUCUUAUUUGAAAUUUACUAUUAUUUUAUUAUACUUGAAAGUAGAUGAAUAUUUGCAAUUAAAGUAUGUUUACUUAAAGGAAAUCUAAUAUGAAAAUUAAUUUUCAACUUUCUGGUAUUUAUAUGACAAAAAAACUAAUCGAAUUGUGGAUAAAGUUUUUCAUGGAGUGAAACCUAACUAUUUGACUUGAAAAUACUUUUUAUAAAGAAUAUUUUUUUACCAUUAAAUUUUCAGUACAAUAAAAGGACCCUCGUUUCAAAUAAUUUACCUUUUUUGAGCUCCGUAAGUGGGCUCAAUUAUUGAGAAAGAGCGCACUGUGAUUAUUUUGGAAUUUUGAAGUGCUCGAUGGCUCCAAUAGAAAUAGUCCCGCAAGUUAGACGGGGCAAAUAAUUUUGGUGUUGGAUCAUGAAUAUGCAUAACUUGGAUUAUAUCGAAGUUUAAUGACCAUCGCUGGAUCUACAUAUAAGAACUAAUUAUCCUUUUAUUUAUUAGCUUCACGAUUCAUUUUCAUUUUAGUUUAUUGUAUUUAUUAUUAUUGUAAUAUAUCAAAUUAAUGACUAACAUUGCCUUGCUUUGAUUAAAAAAUCUAAUGACCGUAGGAAAGUGAUGGACAUUUGUUUUUAAUUGGUUAUUUCUUUCCCUAUACUAUUUUCCAUGAGCAAGGGAAAAAUUAUUGAAAAUCAAAACGUAAUUGGAUUGAGUAUGAGUUAAAUCCAGUGGAGUUUUGUAUAGGUUGCUAAAUUUGUAUUAUGUAAAGAUGGAACUGUUUGAGUUAAAUGGUUCAAUUUAAAUCGAACCCAAUCUGACCAAUAAAGGUUGUACGAUCAUCAAUUUUACUAGAAAAGCACAAGAUAAAUUUAAGAGACUAUCAAUCCUAAAAGGGCAGAGAGAAGCAUAAUCAAUACUUAAUCACAAUAGACAUCGGGUUGGAUUCCGCAAGUAUCCGAUGCCAUUCAAGAUAAAUUAAAUUUGGCUAAAUAUGCUUUAUACUGCAUUCUAAAAUCUUUGUUUCUCUUACUGUGAAUUCUGAAUAGUUUAUAAUGUGCACCGGUCCUUUUUAAUAAAUGAACUCGAUUUACACGUUCAGUGUUAGGCAAUGAGUUCUUACUAUUAGUGGCCACCAGCAAUUUAUGACUAUGCAGAAAAUGCAAAAUUUUAUUUUUUUACUGAUAAGUGCUGUGAAAAUGUUUGGGCAUAUCUAUAUGUAUAUAUUCCCAUUCAUUCAUUCAUGGUUCCUUUCUUUCCUUCCUUUUUUCUGUACAUUGAAGCCACUUUUUGCAACUUCUAGGAAACCGUGUUCGGGUUACAAAAUGAAGGAGAUAACUGGAAGUGGUAUCUUUUCGGAUAGUGGAGAAACUGAUCCGUCAGAGUCUGGCAAUAUUACUCCUAACAACAGAACAGGAAUCCGAAUGUACCAGGUACUUCUGUUUUCGGUUUUCCUUUUUUGGCCUGGGACAAAUGCACCAGGUCCUAAUUCCUGCAUAGAUAAUCUUAAAUCUCCAUGGUGAUUCCUAAUUUACUUUGACUUCCUCUGUAAAACAUUCCUAGCAAGCCCUUGCUGGAAUCAGUCACAUCUCCUUUGGUGAGGAAGAGAGCGUUUCUCCGAGAAAACCAACUACUGUGCCUGAGGUUGCAAAACAACGCGAUUUGAGUGGGACGCUGGAAAGUGAGUCAGACGGGAUGUUGAAAAAGCAGAUCUCUCAUGCCAAGUCCAAAGAACUAAGUGGGCAUGACAUAUUUGCACCUCCACCUGAAAUCUUGCCCAGGACGGUGGCUUCACACUCACACACAAUGCAUCAAGACACGGGAGAACCUGCACCACGUGAUUUGCGCACAUCUGCCAAAGUUUCUAAUUUAAGUGACUUUGUUGUGUUUGUCCCUACUCUUCCCUCUGUCUUAAGCAUGAGAAAAUAGUUAUGUGGCAA
RNAcentral lists this long non-coding RNA (11258 nucleotides) under Eucalyptus grandis. RNAcentral's name for it is "long non-coding RNA (EGRA_LNC003471)". Lineage: Eukaryota; Viridiplantae; Streptophyta; Magnoliopsida; Myrtales; Myrtaceae. The record is from RNAcentral.